GACGAACGCUGGCGGCGUGCUUAACACAUGCAAGUCGAACGGGAUCACUGUUUUCGGAUGGUGGUUUAGUGGCGAACGGGUGAGUAACACGUGGGUGACCUGCCCUGCACUCUGGGAUAAGCCUGGGAAACUGGGUCUAAUACCGGAUAGGACCUAUCAUUGCAUGGUGGUGGGUGGAAAGUGUUUGUGGUGUGGGAUGGGCCCGCGGCCUAUCAGCUUGUUGGUGGGGUGAUGGCUUACCAAGGCGA
RNAcentral lists this ribosomal RNA (248 nucleotides) under uncultured Actinomycetes bacterium. RNAcentral describes it as "uncultured actinobacterium partial 16S ribosomal RNA". It matches the Rfam family "Bacterial small subunit ribosomal RNA", at positions 28 to 276 of the family's 1533-position model. Lineage: Bacteria; Bacillati; Actinomycetota; Actinomycetes. The record is from RNAcentral.